UUAUCAUUACAAUGCCCCCGCUUUCAUUCUAUCAGCCCGGCCCCUCUCGCAAAUAUAUCUCAGUGAGGAGACGAGGGCAGGUGGAAGAAGAGGGAUCCCUAAAAUUGAAGCGUCGGCAAAGAUGGCGAGUUGUACAUCGGCUUUAAACGCCAAAUCUCUGAGUUGCAUCAGCCCUGUCCGUUGCCCUUCUCAAGCAGGUGAUUAUAAGGAGGGAUAUCUUAUUGGCAUCGAAGUACCUGAUGAUAUUUGGUUCCCUGCAUUGGCUCGUCCAGCAUACCCGCUCCAAAGAUACAACGACGCAUAUGCCGACCUGAGCUUGUACGGUAAACACUUUAGCCUUAAAAGAAGAAGACAUCGAGUUUCUUCGCAAGAUUGUGACUGUUCGUUCAUCCUUCUCAUUAGAAUGCUCUGUGCAGUGUCUCUGACUGUCGAAAUCUGAUAUGACUGCAUCAAGUUUUAGUUCCUAUUGAAGUUGCUGCUCGACAAGAUGGGCCUAUCGAAAACAAAAAAGGCUCCUUAAUGGGCCUCCAAACUGUGAGCAGUGGCCUUCGUGUCAAUCAAUCACCACUCUAACUCGAUCCAUAAUGACGGGAAGGAAUGGCAAGAUCGUUGACCAAUCAAUCAAUGCAACUGAGAAAAUAUACUUACUGUGACAGCUCCUCAAGUCCCAUCCAUGUCUCGACGGGUCUCGCCGAUCCACAAGCCAAGCUACCCAUUGGGGCGGACGUCCCCCUCAUCGAGUCUGUGCCAACCUAUCCAACUCGGGACCAUAUCCGUGCGUUAGAUUGUCACUCUGUCGACAGCAAGGAGGACGGUACCACCGCACGACGGGCAUGGCCGACCCAUGCGGCAAAUGUUAGGCGUGCGUCACUCGAGUUCGCAGUGUCGACGUAAUUAUCGGCGCGUGUUGGGAUGGAUAGUUAACGGAGCGGUAAUUUGAGGAGACGAAAUCCAAUGGGAAGCCUCCCAUGCUUUGUGGAGGCAAUGCCAACCGGCGUCCACGAGGAUGGUGGUCCUUCUUCUCCCCAUGUGACCUGCGCGAGCCAAGUUUUCGGGAAAUGGACCACCAGAUCCGGGCCUCGAUUCAUUAGUGCCAUUUAUUGGUCCGGACAAGGCCAUUGGAUCGGGCCCAUUUACAAGGAAACAUACGUGCGUGUCUUCGUCAGACGUCACUCUCUUUGCCCCUUUGGUCAUGUUACCAUGUACCCCCGCCUUCCCUUCCUCGUCUCCACUCCGCCUCUCGCCCACCACCUGUUUGAUGCCAGGCACUGUUACCCCCCUCUGCUGGGCAGUCCAUCUCCUGGGCCUCCUGCAGUGUCAUCGGUUGAAUGUGUGCAUGCAUUCCAACAAACAUCUUGGGUGCAUCUUUUUUGAGCUGGUCACAUCAGUUAAAGAUUUCAAAAGAUGCAGAGUUCAUUGUGCAAUCUAUAUGAUCCAGAUGCUCCUCACCUCAAGUACUACCAUAGAGGACUAGCUGCCAGCAUCCACAUCAGGGAAAAAUACUUAUCUGACUCAUCUCUUUUUGGUGUUCCCAGACAUGGUUUUGGAUCCAUUCCAAGUUCCAAGGACUCAUUUUCAUGUCUGAGUUGAUGCUCUUUCAUCUGUCUUCACAUGUACUAGUGCAAGGUUUUGGGUAUUUGGGUUUGGUCAUGUUGAGAUAUCAUGAGGUUCUGGUACUUCACCUCUUAUCCUGGGUAGGUCUGUGGUACUUGCUGCCCUCAAGGUUUCACCCCUCUUGACCAUGGCACCAAACCAUGCUUUGGCACGGGCCCCUCUGUCAACCUCGGAGGAAAGUAGCCAUCAUGGGCCUGAGUACAUGAGCUCAACAGGAAGACAUGAUCGGAGAGCACAUAGCAUGUGUGGGGGUGACAUGUUAUGCCAAUUUGAGGAAAUGGAACAGUGUGCACAUACAGUAUAUGUUACGACGCACACACGCAGCAGAUGGCUUCGAGUGGAGGAGAUUGUGUUCUCUGUGGUUGAUUCCUUGGUGAACUGUUCGAAAGCUAAUGCCUUCACUGAGGCUUGAUGUCUAACCCACUCCAGACACAUCCACACCAUCAUGAGGUAUGAUGUCCAAGAAACUGAUGUGAGCAAAGGCAAAGAAAGAAGAACAGGCAAAAAAAACGCCUUCAAGAUCUACCAUAGAAAGACAACCGAAUGCAUAGGUUGCAUGUGAGAUGCAUAAUGGUGAGGGAUGAUGCUGUCCUCUCCAUCUAGCUCCUCUGCUAUGCCAACAUCUAGGAAUGGCAGUCAUAUGCCACCCCUAUCUAUGACUCUACCUGGGAUGAUACAAUGUUUUCUUUUUCUUUUCUACCUGUUUUGUUUCUCCAUUUUAUUCGUUAUGAUUAUAAGUCCAUCCAUGAAAACUGGACAUAUGACA
Molecule: non-coding RNA, 2380 nt
Organism: Musa acuminata subsp. malaccensis (wild Malaysian banana)
Lineage: Eukaryota; Viridiplantae; Streptophyta; Magnoliopsida; Zingiberales; Musaceae
Source: RefSeq, a predicted model, not a curated record